AUACACCACAAGGGGAGCUUUGGCUGAGAGUGAACGAGUAAGUUCUUACCCUUCGAACCUGUAAGUUAACACUUGCGCAGGGAUGUGGAUGGAAAACCGG
RNAcentral lists this non-coding RNA (100 nucleotides) under Planococcus rifietoensis. RNAcentral describes it as "TPP sequence". It matches the Rfam family "TPP riboswitch aptamer (THI element)". Rfam says of the family: Vitamin B(1) in its active form thiamin pyrophosphate (TPP) is an essential coenzyme that is synthesised by coupling of pyrimidine and thiazole moieties in bacteria. The previously detected thiamin-regulatory element, thi box was extended, resulting in a new, highly conserved RNA secondary structure, the THI element, which is widely distributed in eubacteria and also occurs in some archaea. The record is from Rfam by way of RNAcentral. Lineage: Bacteria; Bacillati; Bacillota; Bacilli; Caryophanales; Caryophanaceae.